Molecule: long non-coding RNA, 3401 nt
Filed under: Accipiter nisus (Eurasian sparrowhawk)
Lineage: Eukaryota; Metazoa; Chordata; Aves; Accipitriformes; Accipitridae
Description: lncRNA (ENSANIG00000016261.1)
Source: RNAcentral
UUUUUUGUCUUUCUCUUCUUCAGUCACUAUGAGCAAGACCGGAGUGCACUUAAGCGGAAAGAAUGGGAGAGAAGAAACCAGGAAGUCCAGCAAGAUGAAGAUCUCUUUGCUUCAGGUUUUAACCUCUUUGGGGAACCGUACAAGACAAAUAAAGGUGAUGCCCUUGCAAACCGUGUCCAGAACACAUUGGGAAAUUACGAUGAGAUGAAGGACCUGUUAACCAACCAUUCCAACCAGAGCCACCUUGUAGGAAUCCCAAAGAAUUCUGUCCCACAGACACCCAUUGACAAAAAUGAACAGAAUUUUUUCCCAGAACCAAGAAACAGGAUGAUCCCAUCUCAUCAGAUCAGUGGCCACUCAUCGACAUCAAUGCCUCCACCUUCUUCGUUGUCAUCUAAUUCUACUUUGCUACACAGUCACCAGAGCAGCAGGAAGUCGAGGACAGACUGGUCACGUGGUGGUCACAACUCUAGUGGGGCCCAGCCAAGCCAAUCCAGUAGUCAGCAGAGUCGGACAAAGCAUAGCUCUUCUCAUGAGCAGCCACAGGGCAGGUAUGAAGACCUCUAUAAUUGUCAGAGUGAGCAGCAUAAAAGCGGAGGAACUGAGGAAGCAAAUUCUAUGGCAGCAUCUUCACAUUCGAGGAGGCAUACUCAUUCAAAGUCAGCACCUGGAGAACAUACUUACAAAGAAAACAGUCAUUCGAAGUCACCCACAGAGCUUGAGUUUGUAGGUCAUGGUCCUGGAUCUCCACUCCCUUCCACUUCUUUGUUAUCUGCGAACAAUGGUCUUUCGACCCAGAAUUUCCCACCAGGACUUCACUGUAAAAACAGCAUGGUCCAGCAAAAGCCUACAGCAUACGUCAGGCCUAUGGACGGUCAGGACCAGGUGCCCAAUGACUCACCUGAACUGAAACCUCCGAUAGAAAUUGAGAGUGGAUAUGGAAAUCAGUCCUUUGGAACACUGCUGGAAGGAAAGGUGAACACACCUAGUUCGAAGAACAAAGUACCAAAGCUCAACAUUCCUCCUGUUAGUGAAGUUACUCUUCCCAAUGACUCCAGCUGUGUGGAAGAAAUAUUACGGGAGAUGACCCAUUCCUGGCCUCCUCCUCUUACUGCUAUUCACACUCCUGGCAAGGCUGAGCAGACCAAGUUUUCUAUCCCAAGCAAGCAGCAUACUGACACAAGAGGAUCUUCUCCCCGCAGCAGCCUGCCGGUGCCGGCGGCACAUGCAACUGGCUUGGCCCAUUCCAGCGGUGGCUCCGGGAGCUCCAGCGAGUCCGAGAGCAGCUCCGAGUCCGACUCCGACAGCGAGAGCAGCUCCAGUGACAGCGAGUGCAAUGAGGAGUCACGCAGUGCCACGCCAGAGCCUGAACCUCCCUCAACAAACAAAUGGCAGCUGGAUAAAUGGCUAAAUAAAGUGAACCCCCACAACAAGACCAUCAUCAACAAUCAAAAUGAGCCUCACAGCGAGACCAGCUCCCAGGCCCAGAGCAACCAGCAGGCCGAAGGGCCAAACAAAGGGAAGCUCAACAGCAGCCUGCCCCCGACCGAUUCCAAAGACCGGGCGAUCCUUAGUCCCAUCCGAGAGAAAGCCAAACCGCGGGUUGCCCAGAAAACCCCAGAGGCAAAAAGCUCCAAGCAGAAGUCACCAGCUCAUAAUGAGCCCACUUCGCAAAGGACUACUGGGAAAAAGCAACCCAAAAAGGUAGAAAGGACUUCCAGUGUAGAAGAGUAUAACUGGCCCAAACCAAAUAAUACCAGCAACACUCCCAAAGAAAAAGACACACAGGAACCCCCUGAGCAGCCAAAGGUUCGAACUAAAGCAGCAGUUGGGAAGACCGCUCCAAGGAAAGAACCACGAACUAGCACAGGUCUCACUUCAGAGAAGAAAAAGUACAGAGGCCCCAGCAAAAUUGUCCCUAAGUCCCGGGAAUUCAUUGAAACAGAUUCAUCUACUUCUGACUCAAAUACAGACCAGGAGGAGAGCUUGCAGGCUAAGGUGUUGCCAGCUUGCACUGGGUCUGGCAAUGGCGCCAAAGUGAAGGACUCUGGCAGUAACAUCCUCAGCGUAAGUAGUUUAACUAGCAAUGGCAGCAACACAUCCAUUGACCAGACCAGCAAUGACUUGGAGGAGCAGCUCUUUUCUCCUAUCCCAAUCGUACAAAAUGAACUUCUGUCCCCACUGAGAGAAUAUGAAGAACUCAAAUCUCUGUGGGUGAAAAUAGACCUUAGCUUACUCUCUAGGAUACCUGGACAAGAGCCUUUUGAGACCACGUCUGUGAAAAGUGAACCGAGAGAGGCAAAUGUGAAACACAGGCGACCGUCUCGAGAGUCUCCUACCCCAGCAGCUGAAAAACCAUCCACAAAAUCCAAAAGGAAACACAAGCAAACAGAAAGCCUGGAUACCUUUGUUGAAAGCAAGAAGCAGCGCCUGGAGGACCCUUCAGCUUCAUGCCUGCUCCCACCUUGUAUCUCUCCGAUACCGAAUCACAGAUUAACCAUGAAGAAGGUGGCAAAGAAAAGAGAAGAGAAGCUGUUUCCUCCUCCAUUAUCCCCCCUUUUGGAUGAGCCUGUGCACCGGCGGCACAGUAGUGACAACGGCUCCUUCAGCCAAGAGACCAACAUCACAAACACCUCUCAGACCAGCAGCUCUUCCUCCUCUGUUUCUAAACACAGAAAGAAUGAAAAUAAAUCCUCUUCUAACCCCAAAGGAAUCUGUGUAAGUAACCGACCUCAGAUGCUGGAAGAAGAAUCUCACAAUACACCAACAGCCAACACUCUUCUUGACACCAGCCACCUAGAAACAGACAUCUGGUCUGCAAUGCCAACACUUUCCAAUGGGAAUUCUGAGCCCAGAAGACCCAAAAUAACAUUUGAUGAUGUGCUUCACAAUGCGGAUUAUUACAUGCAAGAGGCUAAGAAGCUAAAGCAUAAAGCAGAUGCAUUGCUGGAGAAGUUUGGCAAAGCAGUGAAUUAUGCUGAUGCUGCCCUCUCCUUCAUCGAGUGCGGGAAUGCUAUGGAGCGAGAUCCAUUAGAAGCUAAAUCUCCAUACACCAUGUACUCAGAGACUGUGGAACUCAUCAGGUAUGCAAUGAGACUCAAGAAUUUCACAGGCUCUUCUGCCACGGAAGGGGACAAGAAAUUAGCAGUUUUAUGCUACCGAUGCUUAUCGCUUCUCUACUUGAGAAUGUUUAAACUAAAGAAGGACCAUGCUAUGAAGUACUCCAGAUCUCUGAUGGAAUAUUUUAAGGUAAUCUUUAUUCUAUUUAAUUUAUAGAUAUGAAAUGAAAUUCAUACCAGCACUGAGAGCUCUCACAAGUAUAACUGCGUGACUUAAAAGUCCCACAUUUAACCUCUCCCCUGGGAAAUGCAGGCAGGAUGGCUGCCAGGGACUGGGGACAG